UACGUAGGUGGCAAGCGUUGUCCGGAUUUAUUGGGUUUAAAGGGUGCGUAGGCGGUCUAUUAAGUCAGUGCUGAAAUACUCCAGCUUAACUGGAGGGGUGGCAUUGAUACUGAUGGACUUGAGUACAGAUGAGGUAGGCGGAAUUGACGGUGUAGCGGUGAAAUGCAUAGAUAUCGUCAAGAACACCGAUAGCGAAGGCAGCUUACUGGGCUGUAACUGACGCUGAUGCACGAAAGUGUGGGGAUCAAACAGG
Molecule: ribosomal RNA, 253 nt
Filed under: uncultured bacterium
Lineage: Bacteria
Description: partial 16S ribosomal RNA
Rfam family: Bacterial small subunit ribosomal RNA
Source: RNAcentral